RNAcentral lists this long non-coding RNA (338 nucleotides) under Junco hyemalis (dark-eyed junco). RNAcentral describes it as "lncRNA (ENSJHYG00000015363.1)". The record is from RNAcentral. Lineage: Eukaryota; Metazoa; Chordata; Aves; Passeriformes; Passerellidae.
UUGGCAGGUCCUUUGCUGUCCUUUGAGCAUGGCCCAGACCUCUGAGAAUACUGGGAGGAAAAAGAAUAAUUCCAAUGAGUAUUUCAGAGAUUCUGCUGUCAGAUGCUUUUCUGCUUUCACACAGGCUCAAUCCUGACAUGACUGACUUCAGUAAAGUCACUUUAGGAGCAGCACUACUGGGAAGCAGCAGGAAUCCUCCUGCAAGAGAUGAGGAUUCACGUCAGGAUGAUACUGCUGAGGAUUCACAGUACAUCAACACAGGAAACAGUCCUGCUGGCUUCAGAAACAUCAAAAUAAGACCUGCCAGCCUCAAACAACACCCUCUUUCUUCGCAUUAG